Molecule: ribosomal RNA, 171 nt
Filed under: uncultured bacterium
Lineage: Bacteria
Description: partial 16S ribosomal RNA
Rfam family: Bacterial small subunit ribosomal RNA
Source: RNAcentral
CUCCUACGGGAGGCAGCAGUGGGGAAUCUUGCACAAUAGAGGAAACUCUGAUGCAGCGAUGCCGCGUGAGUGAAGAAGGCCUUUGGGUUGUAAAGCUCUUUCGUCGGGGAAGAAAAUGACUGUACCCGAAUAAGAAGGUCCGGCUAACUUCGUGCCAGCAGCCGCGGUAAU